AGAGUUUGAUCAUGGCUCAGAGUGAACGCUGGCGGCGUGCUUAACACAUGCAAGUCGAACGAGAACGGUACUAGCUUGCUAGUAUGUCAGCUAAGUGGCGGACGGGUGAGUAAUGUAUAGUUAAUCUGCCCUUCAGAGGGGGAUAACUACUGGAAACGGUAGCUAAUACCCCAUACUCCUUCUAGUGUAAUGCUAGUUGGGAAAUGUCUUUUCGCUGAAGGAUGAGACUAUAUGGUAUCAGGUAGUUGGUAGGGUAAGAGCCUACCAGGCCAAUGACGCCUAGCUGGUCUGAGAGGAUGAUCAGCCACACUGGAACUGAGACACGGUCCAGACUCCUACGGGAGGCAGCAGUGGGGAAUAUUGCACAAUGGGGGAAACCCUGAUGCAGCAACGCCGCGUGGAGGAUGACACAUUUCGGUGCGUAAACUCCUUUUAUAUGGGAAGANA
Molecule: ribosomal RNA, 447 nt
Filed under: uncultured Campylobacterota bacterium
Lineage: Bacteria; Pseudomonadati; Campylobacterota
Description: bacterial SSU rRNA
Rfam family: Bacterial small subunit ribosomal RNA
Source: RNAcentral